Molecule: ribosomal RNA, 609 nt
Filed under: uncultured archaeon
Lineage: Archaea
Description: bacterial SSU rRNA
Rfam family: Archaeal small subunit ribosomal RNA
Source: RNAcentral
UUCCGGUUGAUCCUGCCGGAGGCCAUUGCUAUCGGAGUCCGAUUUAGCCAUGCUAGUUGCACGGGUUUAGACCCGUGGCGACAAGCUCAGUAACACGUGGCCAAGCUACCCUGUGGACCGGAAUAACCUCGGGAAACUGAGGACAAUUCCGGGUAACGCUCCCCUAUUGGAAUAUGGGGAGCUGGAAAUGCGUUAUGCGCCACAGGAUGCGGCUGCGGCCGAUUAGGUUGACGGUGGGGUAACGGCCCACCGUGCCCAUAAUCGGUACGGGUUGUGAGAGCAAGAGCCCGGAGACGGAAUCUGAGACAAGAUUCCGGGCCCUACGGGGCGCAACUGGCGCGAAACCUUUACACUGCACGACAGUGCGAUAGGGGGACUCCGAGUGCGAGGGCAUAGAGCCCUCGCUUUUCUGUACCCUAAGGUGGUACAAGAAUAAGGGCUGGGCAAGACCGGUGCCAGCCGCCGCGGUAAUACCGGCAGCCCAAGUGAUGGCCGAUAUUAUUGGGCCUAAAGCGUUCGUAGCUGGCCAGACAAGUCCGUUGGGAAAUCCGCAUGCUUAACGUGCGGGCGUCCAGCGGAAACUGUCCGGCUUGGGACCGGAAGGCCCGA